GUAUGGUAAUCCUGGAUUGAGGCAUUGUGGUGCUACAACAAGAGAGUAUAUGAAGCUGUAAAUGAAUCAGAAGGAAAUCUAGAAAAACGAAGUAGCUGGUUAGCGGACCGAAUCGGUAUGGUAAAGAUAUGAUCAAUUCCUUGUUUAUGCUCGAGGUAAUAAGCCCUUACGGGUUUUGGGCGGUAGAGCUUUUGAGUUCGGACAGCUUGCUAAGACUGGUGUGGAUAGAAGGAUUUAGUCCUGGCAGUUUAGCUUGUGGUUAGGAAAAGGAGAUGGAGUUUUCAGGUUAUCCUAGUAUGGUAUGGUAUGUGCGGUCUGUUGUGAAGGAUUGGAAUUUGUGUGAGUCAGGUACGGUUCAGUCCGAAUGGAAAGUCGUUAAAUUCUUAAGCAGCACAGGCAGCUGCAGGUGAUUUAAGAAUCUACCCCCAGAUGAUUAGGGAAAAUGGUAUUACUAUCCUAGUAAUUUGACGGGAGUAUACGUUCAGUAAGACGGGAAGGUGAUGUUAACUGAUAACGAUUCGGUGGGAUUGCGGUAGUUUCCUGUUGGACCGACUGUUGACAUUUGAGUUUGUUGAUGGCACAUGGAAAUUUUUGAAUAUCUUUCGUGGAAUGAAUGGGUACUUGAUGUGUAAUAUGUAUUCGUACUGGGAAAUAUGGGACCGGGUAUAGUGAUUUGUGGGUUAUAUGGAGUUGGAGACUAGGAGUUCUCCGAUAUAGUCUAUGCCGCGGUUGUGGAUCGUGAGUAUUCGGCACCGUUUAGUGGCAAUUAUGAUUUGGAGGUUAUA
This 785-nucleotide long non-coding RNA is filed under the name Nicotiana benthamiana. RNAcentral describes it as "long non-coding RNA (NBEN_LNC039326)". Lineage: Eukaryota; Viridiplantae; Streptophyta; Magnoliopsida; Solanales; Solanaceae. The record is from RNAcentral.